This is a transfer RNA of 75 nucleotides. It matches the Rfam family "tRNA". Rfam says of the family: Transfer RNA (tRNA) molecules are approximately 80 nucleotides in length. Their secondary structure includes four short double-helical elements and three loops (D, anti-codon, and T loops).
GAUCGCGUGGUCCAGCGGCUAAGACGCCUGCGUGACAAGCAGGAGACCGAUGGUUCGAUUCCAUCCGUGAUCACC